This is a long non-coding RNA of Lemur catta (Ring-tailed lemur), 596 nucleotides long. RefSeq lists it as uncharacterized. NCBI's taxonomy places the organism in Eukaryota, Metazoa, Chordata, Mammalia, Primates, Lemuridae. The transcript has 3 exons. The record is from RefSeq and is a predicted model, not a curated record.
UCCAGGUGGCUGGGGACUUUCCUGUUCCUGUACUGCCCAGUAUGCAAGUUUUGCAUUGUCAGUAAAGCCCCUUUUCAGGCCAGGACGCUGGGAAAUGUGGCUGUUGGCACCAGGCAUCAAAUAGAAUAAUCCUGUCCCCCGGGAUGUUCACGUUACUGAGAGCCUCAACGCAUCUACUCAGGAUUACUUUCUGGACAUCUUCCUGAAAUUCUUUGGACACAGAGAUGUUCUGCCCUGUUCUUGGUGAUGGAAAACAAGAGCAUGAGCUCCUGUCAAUUGUGGGUGAACAAAAGAAGGAAUCACGUGGCUGUAUGCGGGGAAGGGAAAGAUGGCUCAGCAUAUCCUACAUUUAUUUCAUCGUAUCGAAUACGGAUCAUCAAAAACCAGGAAAGUAUGAGAAACUUUCAUGGCCAAGAGGAGCCCCAGGAGACAUGGCAACAAAACGUCAUGUGGCAUCCUGGAUGGGAUACUGGAUCUGAGAAAGCACAUUGGCGAAAACUCAGAAAAUCAGAAUAAAGUACUGAUGUGAGUUAAUAACAAUAUAUUAAAAUUUGUUUAUUAACUGUAAGAAAUGUACCAUACUGACAUAAGAUGUU